This is a long non-coding RNA of Culex pipiens pallens (northern house mosquito), 780 nucleotides long. RefSeq lists it as uncharacterized. Lineage: Eukaryota; Metazoa; Arthropoda; Insecta; Diptera; Culicidae. The record is from RefSeq and is a predicted model, not a curated record. The transcript is spliced from 2 exons.
GACAUCAAACAAGCGGUCUUGUUUGUUAUCAAUUAUUUAAACUGUCGUCAUUGGAUGAGAGGUACCGUUGAAAAUUAGUCUUAUCAUUUGAAAAGUUUCGAAUAAAUGAAAAAGUAUAAGUUAUUUUUAAUUGUGUUAAUUACUAUUUACGACGUGGACAAGGAAAAAGGAAAAAAAUGCACCUUAAAUCCAAGCAUAACUUUUUUUCAACACAAAAAUGUACCAGAUACCAUCGAACCGGAAACGCUCAAGGUUAUCCAGCGUGGACAAGUUCAAAACGAGCAGCCAGAGCAAUAACAUCGCCAGCAGCUGAUUCGAUUCCUGACGACCACCGCGCCAGGGCAUGGUCCCCAUUAAUGCCGGCUGACCGCGGUGUUCCAGUUGGGCACAAUCCAUUAUUCAUCGAGGGGUGGGUUCGGGAAAUGGCCGCGGCAGGGAACAAUUCCAAACACACAUCAGGGUGAAAUCAAGAAGAGCAGAAGAGAAAAAAGUGCGCGCCAGGAAGAACUUUUAUGCAUUUUAUCGACCAAUAGCAGCAGCGACCACCUGGACGGAUGGUAAACAAUCGAUGGCCGGAGCUUUUUAUGAGGAAUGCUUUUUUUGUUAUUCUGUUGAGUUGGAUUAUUUACAUUCGGACAGGACGACCCUGACGAGGCCUUUAUCGGGCAUGGCGCCAUUUUUUCUAAUGGAAAAUUUUUCAAGACCAAAAGGUAAAACCUUCAAAACGAAAAAAUCCUAACAAAGUUACGUAAAAUCCAUAAAUCAGCAUUGCUAACAUUA